Molecule: ribosomal RNA, 253 nt
Filed under: uncultured bacterium
Lineage: Bacteria
Description: partial 16S ribosomal RNA
Rfam family: Bacterial small subunit ribosomal RNA
Source: RNAcentral
UACGGAGGGGGCUAGCGUUGUUCGGAAUUACUGGGCGUAAAGCGCACGUAGGCGGCUUUGUAAGUUAGAGGUGAAAGCCCGGAGCUUAACUCCGGAACUGCCUUUAAGACUGCAUCGCUUGAAUCAUGGAGAGGUUAGUGGAGUUCCGAGUGUAGAGGUGAAAUUCGUAGAUAUUCGGAAGAACACCAGUGGCGAAGGCGACUAACUGGACAUGUAUUGACGCUGAGGUGCGAAAGCGUGGGGAGCAAACAGG